UGUGAAAACUCGGGGCUCAACCCCGAGACGCCAUCCGAUACUGCUGUGGCUUGAGUCUGGUAGGGGAGCGUGGAACUCCUGGUGUAGCGGUGAAAUGCGCAGAUAUCAGGAAGAACACCAGCGGCGAAGGCGGCGCUCUGGGCCGGAACUGACGCUGAGGAGCGAAAGCGUGGGUAGCAAACAG
This 184-nucleotide ribosomal RNA is filed under the name uncultured bacterium. Its description in RNAcentral is "partial 16S ribosomal RNA". It matches the Rfam family "Bacterial small subunit ribosomal RNA", at positions 593 to 775 of the family's 1533-position model. The record is from RNAcentral.